CCCAACCAAAACUCAAACACCUGAUGCUGAGCUGGUUGAAGCCGACCUCUCAUUGUCCCAAAAAAGAAAACAUCAUUCUGACAACCAGCCAGGUUCAACAUCUGCCCCUUCGUCCACUCCCGAGCCUACACCUGCCCGAUCUCCUUCCCCAGAGGCGGUACAUGCGGGUCCUUCACCGGUUCGCAGUCAGCCUGUGCCUUCUCCUCCGAGACAUACGACUAACGAAUUCCAGCAGGAUGCCAUGGGUUCGCCAACUAUGUGGCCCCGAUUCAACGCCAACUUUCCUUUUCAACUGUUCGAGGCCUUCGUUCGCGAGACCGAUGACCACCGAUUCGG
Molecule: long non-coding RNA, 336 nt
Filed under: Panax ginseng (ginseng)
Lineage: Eukaryota; Viridiplantae; Streptophyta; Magnoliopsida; Apiales; Araliaceae
Description: long non-coding RNA (PGIN_LNC013796)
Source: RNAcentral